Molecule: long non-coding RNA, 499 nt
Filed under: Cricetulus griseus (Chinese hamster)
Lineage: Eukaryota; Metazoa; Chordata; Mammalia; Rodentia; Cricetidae
Description: lncRNA (ENSCGRG00015036612.1)
Source: RNAcentral
AAAAGUGUUGCUCUCUUUCCCCUCGGCUCCUGCUCCAGUGGCACAAUGUUAUUCACCAGCAAGGAGGGACGCCAAUAAGGUGCUGCAAAGAAUGCCACAGAGCAGCUGAAAGACUCCAGUAUGAUGAGAAAACUGUCCAAGACACAGUCAGCCAUGGACUUCUCUCUUGGAGGUAGCAACAACAUUGCUUAUGACCACAUCACUGAAGCCUCUGCCUCCAUCAUCAUGUAGCCCUCUUCUCUUCUGUCUCUCACUGUGUGAGGGUUAGUGUUGAUUGACACCUUGAGGGAAUUCAGAACCACCUUGGAAUACCUGUGAGAACCACCUGGGUGCACCUGUGAGAAUCGCCUGACAUACGUGUGAGAAUUACCUGGGUGUACCUGUAAAAAAACACUGGAUGCACCUGUGAGAACCAUCUAGACACAUGAUAAUUCUCUGGAUAGCCUGCAGGACCACUCCUGUAAACCCUCCCCACAGUUACUGUUGCCUUCUGUCCUAG